RNAcentral lists this long non-coding RNA (2103 nucleotides) under Salmo salar (Atlantic salmon). RNAcentral's name for it is "lncRNA (ENSSSAG00000083514.1)". Lineage: Eukaryota; Metazoa; Chordata; Actinopteri; Salmoniformes; Salmonidae. The record is from RNAcentral.
AAAGAACAUGGGUUCUUGGCCCAGCGUUCUCAGUCCACCCCCGCCUCCGCUGUCCGCUCCUCUAGCGACAGCUUCGAACAGGUCCGUCGCGUCGCCCGAGAGAAGGAGAGAGAGAAACAGCUAAAAGCACAGGCCAGGAGAGAGCAGGAGAAACUACGUAGCCUUGACGACGAGGACUCUGUGGACCAGCAGAGGGAGCUGGCGAGACGCCGCGAGCAGGAAAGGAGGAGGAGAGAGAUGGCGGACACCAUUGACAUCAACUUCCAGAGCGACUUGAUGGUCAUCUUUGAAGAGAACCUUUUCUGAGAGAGAGAUUGAGAAAGGAGGAGAGGGAGAGAAAGAGAUAUGAACUCUACCUUAUCCCACCAUGGCUGGGAUUUCACACACAACACCCUCCCUCCCUCUGAUUAGAGACCCCAGACCAGGAUGUGAGCUCCAGAGACUUGAAGGAGACUGAGGUGAGGUACAGUAAUAAGGAGAUGCCCUCCCUCCCUCUGAUUAGAGACCCCAGACCAGGAUGUGAGCUCCAGAGACUUGAAGGAGACUGAGGUGAGGUACAGUAAUAAGGAGUAGCCCUCCCUCCCUCUGAUUAGAGACCCCAGACCAGGAUGUGAGCUCCAGAGACUUGAAGGAGACUGAGGUGAGGUACAGUAAUAAGGAGAUGCCCUCCCUCCCUCUGAUUAGAGACCCCAGACCAGGAUGUGAGCUCCAGAGACUUGAAGGAGACUGAGGUGAGGUACAGUAAUAAGGAGAAGCCCUCCCUCCCUCUGAUUAGAGACCCCAGACCAGGAUGUGAGCUCCAGAGACUUGAAGGAGACUGAGGUGAGGUACAGUAAUAAGGAGUAGCCCUCCCUCCCUCUGAUUAGAGACCCCAGACCAGGAUGUGAGCUCCAGAGACUUGAAGGAGACUGAGGUGAGGUACAGUAAUAAGGAGUAGCCCUCCCUCCCUCUGAUUAGAGACCCCAGACCAGGAUGUGAGCUCCAGAGACUUGAAGGAGACUGAGGUGAGGUACAGUAAUAAGGAGAAGCCUCCCCCCCUUAGCGGUGGGGACCGGGAGUACAACUUCCACUUUUUGCAAUUUCAGAUGCGUUUUUUUGUGUCUAACUGCCCGUUUAUCGUUGAUGAUUGGUGGUUGCCGUGGGCAAUGGUGAAACCGGAUACCUAUGGAUAAACAGAUAUGUGAACUCCUCUUGUAUUCUGAAAUGAAACCGGAGGGAGGAGGGGAGGACUGAGAACUAUUACCUGAACAUAAAGAAUAAAAAGAGGGUUUAAUGGAGAAAGAAGAUGUGAACACCUUCUAACGUGCGAGAGGGAGGGCCGGGCGAACGAGAGGAUGGACAGACUUCUUUCUCUUUGAUUCAUUUCUCUCUUAAUCUAGAAUUUUUCUCUCCCUGUUUUUUGAUGUUGGGUUUUAUUAAGCGGGGUGGGUGAGGAGAUGGGGGAGGGAGAAGUGGGCCGGCUGUGUGUGUUACCAUGUUUACGUCCCAAAAGGGCACCCUAUUCCCUUCAUAUAGUGCACUACUUGUGUCCAGGGCCCAUGGGGAUCUGAUCAAAAGUGGUGCGCUAUAUAGGGAGUAGGGUGCCAUUUGGGACUUAUCCUCUGAGAUGGGUUCAGUUUCUCUCCGGACAGCAAGAUGAACACCGGGCUCACACCCCAGCACUAUAAAGAAGCACCCUUCCUUCCUUCCUUCCUUCCUUCUUACUCUCCUUGUCCUUUGUGACAUCACUGACUUGACACAACUUGAAAGUGUAAAAGCUUGAACUCCAUUUUUUCAGUCAUAUCUGAUUCAUUGAUUAUUUCAAGAAAGGAGGCAGAGAGGGAAGGAAGGAGGGAACGAGGGGAAAAAGAGGAAGGAUGAGUGAAGAGAGGAGGGAGAGAGGGAAGGAAGGAGGGAACGAGGGUAAAAAGAGGAAGGAUGAGUGAAGAGAGGAGGGAGAGAGGGAAGGAAGGAGGGAACGAGGGGAAAAAGAGGAAGGAUGAGUGAAGAAAGGAGGGAAGGAAGGAGGGAAGGAAGAGAGGGAAGAAAGGAGGGAAGGAAGAGAGGGAAGAAAAGAGGGAAGGAAGAGAGGGAAGAAAAGAGGGAAGAAAGGAGGGAAGGAAG